This 492-nucleotide ribosomal RNA is filed under the name uncultured bacterium. Its description in RNAcentral is "partial 16S ribosomal RNA". It matches the Rfam family "Bacterial small subunit ribosomal RNA", at positions 29 to 507 of the family's 1533-position model. The record is from RNAcentral.
AGUGAACGCUGGCGGUAGGCCUAACACAUGCCAGUCGAACGGCAGCACAGUAAGAGCUUGCUCUUACGGGUGGCGAGUGGCGGACGGGUGUGGAAUACAUCGGAAUCUACUUUUUCGUGGGGGAUAACGUAGGGAAACUUACGCUAAUACCGCAUACGACCUACGGGUGAAAGCAGGGGAUCUUCGGACCUUGCGCGAUUGAAUGAGCCGAUGUCGGAUUAGCUAGUUGGCGGGGUAAAGGCCCACCAAGGCGACGAUCCGUAGCUGGUCUGAGAGGAUGAUCAGCCACACUGGAACUGAGACACGGUCCAGACUCCUACGGGAGGCAGCAGUGGGGAAUAUUGGACAAUGGGCGCAAGCCUGAUCCAGCCAUACCGCGUGGGUGAAGAAGGCCUUCGGGUUGUAAAGCCCUUUUGUUGGGAAAGAAAAGCAGCAGGUUAAUACCCCGCUGUUCUGACGGUACCCAAAGAAUAAGCACCGGCUAACUUCGUG